Molecule: RNA transcript, 4867 nt
Organism: Microplitis mediator
Lineage: Eukaryota; Metazoa; Arthropoda; Insecta; Hymenoptera; Braconidae
Exons: 16
Source: RefSeq, a predicted model, not a curated record
AUAUUCCAUUAUUAUUAUUGUCAUGCAAUGUUAUAUGUGCGACAGUUUUCCGCUGGACACUCUCGUGUUACCUCAUUACCCUACACCGUCCUCAGUAUUUUUAUACAACUAAAAAUAUUUAUAAAUAUAGUUUAUAAUUAAUCACUGAUUUUUAAUUCACUAGCCAUUAAAAAAAAAAUUACCAAUUAAUUAGUAAUUUUAUUUUAAAAAAAUAAUUUUUUUUUCUUUUAAUUUUUACUGUAAUUAAUAUUUAAUGUGCCGGGAAUAUUUUAUUACGUAACAUAAAAAAUAUAUAUAUACAUAUAUACUCACAGUGAUAUUAAAUAUUAGUGCCACUAUUAUAUAAAAAAAAAAAAAAAAAAAACGUGUGUUAGUAUAUUGAUGUGUUUUUAAAAAGUGUAAAAAAAUUAUCAUUCUCUCGGUGACAUUUCUACGAAUUACUGACAUAUAUAUAUUUUUUUUUUUUAAUAAUUAUAAUUAUUAAAUAUUAGUGAUUGUUAUUACGUAUAACAAUCGAAUGAAGUCAUCAUUUUGUAAUUAUUGGCAAACAAGAUUUGCAAAUGAAUCACACAACAAUAAAAUCGUGGCUGUCACGCGGUGAAUUUGAAAAACUUGAACAUGUUGUAUUGGAAGGCCGUGGCGCCCGUUUACUAGGCGAACAUUCACCAGAUCUUAAAACUCGAGCAUUUUUACGAUCACUUCCUAAUUAUUUGACGAAAAUAAGUCAAGUUCACGAUACGAUACCACGUGGGUCCUUAGAAGAGUUGAAAAAAUUUUUAAGCGAUGAACCAAAAAAAAAAUACGCUUUUGCUAAAGACACAUCCGGGACACCAUUGUUACAUAAAGCUGUUUAUUAUGAUCAUCAAGACAUUGUCGAGUGGUUGAUACAAAAUUAUCCAAAUACAGUUCGUCAAAAAGAUCGAGAAGGCAGGACUGCGUUACAUUACUGCGGUAAUUGCAAAGAUCCAGAAGUAAUUUGGGAUUUAUUAAUUGAUGCUGGAUGUGACUCGAGUAUUUGUGACAAACGGGGGCAUCCUGCGGCUUAUUAUCUUCAGCACGCUGAUAAAAUAGAAUUGUCUGAACCCGACAAAAUGGACGAGCAUAAAUUCUCGAACAAAAAUGAAGUUUUGGACGUCAAGCCAUCAAAUAUCAGAAUAUGGAUCCACAACCGCGAUAUUAAAAAACUGCAACAAGUUUUAUGGGAAGGCCACGGUUCUAAACUCCAAUGCGAAAUAAGCAACAAUCCACGCGUCAGAAAAUUUUUAGAAGCUGUUCCUUUUAUUAUGGUCACCAUAAAACAAAUUCACCAAGCGGUCGUUAAAAAUGAUAUAAAUACUCUGCAAGAUAAAAUUGCUGAUCCUGUAUCACCGAUAAUACUUUCCGCUAAAGAUAGCAAUGGAUUAAAUCCUUUGCAUAAGGCUGCAGGUCUAGGUCAUUUAGAAAUCGCAACGGAAAUCGUUGAAAAGUUUUCCCAAGCGACUAUAGCUCAAGACAAUGAGGGUAAAACGCCAUUACAUUACGCGGCGGCUUUAAAAGAUGGCGGCGAUAUGUACGAUCUUUUGGUCGAGUAUGGGGCAGAUGAAAGUAAAUUAGACAAUAAACAAAAAGCUGCAGGUUUUUAUAGAAACCGCCCAGGAGACAUUGACAUGUCUACUUUGGUCGUGAUACCCGACGCCCCUCGGGUGUCAGGCAACGAGUACCCGAAAAAUUGGGACUGGAGAAUUUUGGAGUCCGAGGGCUCGACCCGAUCGAAAAAACGCAGUCCUGCUGAUAGCGCUUUUGGAAGCGCCGAGAGUACGAUGAAGAGUUCGAGCUCGGACGUAAUUGGGGAGGGCGAAGAACCAGAUCCUGAUGAACCGACACCAGAAGAUGAUCCAGAGGCAGAAGCUGAUCCUGAUCCUGAACCAGAACCUGAUGAAAAUGAUGAUAAUCCAGAACCUGAUCCAGAAGAACCGGAACCUGAUACUGAAGAACCAGAACCUGAUGAAGAAGAACCAGAACCUGAUGCAGAGGAACCAGAACCUGAUGAAGAACCAGAACCUGAUGCAGAAGAACCAGAGCCUGAAGCAGAAGAACCAGAACCUGAAGCAGAGGAACCAGAACCUGAUGCAGAAGAACCAGAACCUGAUGCAGAACCGGAAGCUAACGAGAAUGAAGAAGAAAAAAAUGAACCAAGUACAGGAGAUUCAGGUGUUGAUGAAAUAGCUGCCGACGAUCAGGUUAUCGUUGGCGAGCAUGAAGAACUGCCCGAAGCGGAGCUUGAUGACGCGGGCAUGCCCGACGACCCUGAAGUUGAAGAUCUUCUGGUGAACGGGAACAUGGAACAAUUAGCGGCCUUAGUCCUCAAUGGGGAAGGAAAACGUCUACUGGGCAGGCAAUCGGGAAAUCCGGAUCUCCAGGCAUUCAUCGAUAAUGUUCCUUCAUAUAUUGGCAAAAUUCACACGGUCCAUAUUGCGGCCAAAGAAGGAAACCUGAGAGAUCUACAGAACGCAUUGGACAGACGUAAAUUCGCGAUUGCUAGAGACAAUACUUCGCCUCAUGGUGCGACGCCUCUGCAUGUCGCUGUCAUUUUUGGACACACGGCAAUCAUCAGAUAUUUAGCGGGAAGGUUUCCAGAAACAGCUCACGCAGUUGACGUCGAUGGCCGCACUGCCCUCCAUUACGCGGCAACUUUAGCAGACAAUGGCCACUAUUACAACCUACUCCUCCAUUUGGGCGCCAACCCGCUCACUAAAGACAACUUCGAGCAUAAAGCCGACUUCUACCGCGAUCACCAGGAAGACCUAUCGCACAAACGUCUUCUGCGGGAUUUCGGCGCCCGCGAAGAACUCGCGGACGAAAUGUUAACCGACAAAGUUGCGGGUGGUGACGUAUAUUCAUCACGACGUGACAUAACUGAAGCCGAUACCCUUACAAUGCUGGAGCGUUGUUUCCGUCUGCUUGCCAGCAAUCGUAGGAACUCGGUGCCAAAUACACCAACAGCAAAUGCCGGUACAAUGUUGAGACGUUGUAUGAAACGUCCAGUAUUUGAAAAAAUCAAGCACCGUGUGACUCGCAUGGACCACAAUCUUUUUGACGUUAUUUGGCCGUCUUUGCAGAAAUACCAAACCCUUAACAACAAUAAUAGUUACCCCUCAAAUCAAAUUAUUAGCGCUAGUAGUAGUAGAUCAAUGCUAGAUAUCGACAACGACUUUGACGGAAUAGUCGUCGUCCCAGAUUACGAGAGUUACUACGUAUUUUCUGAGCUUCUUGACCCAUUGAUCCGUAACCUGCAUUGCGUGACCGCAACGGGGGAGCUUCCAGAUCAACCUCCGCCAUCUUUUUUCUUCGACCCCGAGGAAUUGGACGAGAAUGACAACAUAGGUGAUAACAUAUCACUGAUCGCGGGAUUCGAUAUCGACCCUACGGGCAAAUAUGUAUCCGCUGGAACCGUCGACGCCUGUCGUAAUUUGGAGGCCUUCCCACUGCCGCUGACUCUGACGAUAAACCAACUCGAGGAAACGGAGAAACAGAUAACCGGGGUCCUGAUUGGCGCUGAAGUUUCCCUGAUCAUGGCAGAGGGCAGCAGUGAAGACGAAGGGGGAGUUUACUACACAUUAAAUGAAGUCCUAGAGCGGCCAAGUGACAUCAGAAUGCGGCUCGCGGCCGCGGGGUUACUGGUCCCGAUUAACGAAACGGAAAUGAGCGACGAAAAGCGACUGCAUGGGCGCCAUUGGCCGUACGGCCGCGGGGUCUACGUCGCCAGUGCGGGAGAUGUCGCUGUCUGGGUCAAUGUCCAGGACCAUUUGAGAAUAAUUGCGUGCACUUCCGAAAAUAAACCCGGGCAAAUUGGAAAGGCCUACGUCCGAAUCGCUAAAAUCUUGACCAUUUUGGACAAAAAGUUCAGGUUCAAAAGGGACAAGAAGUUGGGGUUUCUCAGCGCGAGACCUUCCGCGGUAGGAAACACUUUGAGGUUCAGUGUCAUUAUAAAACUCCAGAGUCUGUCCAAAAAAAUGGAUAAUUUGAAGGAACUGUGUAUUGUUCGGGGCCUUAAGCCCUCGGAGACAAUGCGCAGUGACACUUUUAAAAUAAGUAACCAGCAGUGUUUGAGUAUCACUGAACUACAAACGCUUCAGGACUUCAUUAACGCGGUAGUCAGUAUUAUUGGACUGGAAAAAGAGAUGAUUUUGAGCAAUUCAAUGAAUAUCGCAUCGUUAAUUGUCAAUAUGUUCAAGAAAAAAUCAGCACGUAAAUUUAGGGGAUGAAUUUUGUAUUUUAUUUUAAUAAUUUUUAAUUCUAAAUACUGUGUAAUUUUAAGUGAUAAAUUUUACGAUUGUUAUAAUAAUUAAUAAUUUAUUUUUUUAAAUUUAUCUUUUAUUUGAAUAUUUAUCAGUAUUAAUAUUAAUGUUUAAUAAAUAGCAAUUUAUUUAUCUGUGAUAAUUUUAGUGGCUCAAUUUAAUUAUUAAUUAUUUUUAUUAGUGUUAUUGUUUAUAUAUAUGUAUAAAAUAAGAAUAUUUAGGUUAUUAGUUAUAAGAGAAGUGAAUAGGUUAGAAAUAUAUGAAAAAAUGUAUUUAUGGUAAUAUUGGAAAGAUGUGUGAGAUCUUUAUCUUCAUCUAGACAACGGGACGAUAGUCAGUUUAAUUUUAAAAAUAGUAGAUUUAUUUUUGAUGGCGGCUGGAAAAACUACUGGAGUGUAUUUUGGACGACGGUGAAGAUUUUCCGAUCUUUCGUGAAGAAGAUGGACGAUAUUUAGCUUCCUCAUUGGGCGCACCGUUAAUUAAAGGAUUGACUGAAGUCGUACACAAACGGCCUCAAAAUCCAGUGACGUACUUGGCAACGUAUUUAAAUAAUUUUGCAAGUAAAAGUCGGGAAAAUGAAUAUUCAUCUC